RNAcentral lists this microRNA precursor (96 nucleotides) under Marmota monax (woodchuck). The record is from RNAcentral. Lineage: Eukaryota; Metazoa; Chordata; Mammalia; Rodentia; Sciuridae.
UCUCUCUCUCUCUCUCUCUCUCUCUCUCUCUCUCUCCCCCCACACACACACACACACAGAGAGAGAGAGAGAGAGAGAGAGAGAGAGAGAGAGAGA